RNAcentral lists this ribosomal RNA (216 nucleotides) under Glomeromycotina sp. RNAcentral's name for it is "partial small subunit ribosomal RNA". The stretch from base 40 to 216 matches the Rfam family "Eukaryotic small subunit ribosomal RNA", at positions 686 to 864 of the family's 1831-position model. The record is from RNAcentral. Lineage: Eukaryota; Fungi; Glomeromycota.
GGGUCAGUAGGUUGGUCGUGCCACCGGUACGUACUGGUCUCACUGAUUCCUCCUUCCUGAAGAACCGUAAUGCCAUUAAUUUGGUGUUGCGGGGAAACAGGACUGUUACUUUGAAAAAAUUUGAGUGUUUAAAGCAAGCUAGCGCUUGAAUACAUUAGCAUGGAAUAAUGAAAUAGGACGAUCGAUCCUAUUUUGUUGGUUUCUAGGAUUGACGUA